This is a long non-coding RNA of Diprion similis, 627 nucleotides long. RefSeq lists it as uncharacterized. The record is from RefSeq and is a predicted model, not a curated record. The transcript has 3 exons. NCBI's taxonomy places the organism in Eukaryota, Metazoa, Arthropoda, Insecta, Hymenoptera, Diprionidae.
UUCUCCUUAAUUAAGAAUCUACAACGCCGUUGAUAUUACCCUUGGGAAAUUGAAAUCAGACUAAUGAUGUAAAGUAAAAGUAAAAGAAGGAGGCAGGAGUUAAGGUCCUGGUCGAACUUAUUCAAUCGGGGUUGGAAUGAUGGGCCUAAUUAAAUAAAAGGAUGAGUGGAGACAGAGGGAGGGCAAAAAUCCUUUCAUCAGUCGAGACCUGACAGCGUUGAGAAGAUAGCUUCAGGGAGAAUGAAGUUGAAGACUGAGAGGGGGAGGGGGGAGGGGAUGAGAGACCACGGUCGAGAAGUUCCUUUCAAAUUUUACUUUCUACCUCGUUCUCGGGGUCGUGCAGUCGGUUUCGUUCACACGAUUUAUAAACAUCGCUCUAGCCGAGAAAAAUACAAGAGGGUCUCAACGCAUGUGCAUUUAGAGAUUUAUCAAAGCACAUGUAAGGCAUGUAUAGGUAAGUUUAUUCGCCAUCUACAGGUGAUCAGUUGAUGCCGCUAGAAAUACAACUGCUGGAGAACUUUUAAACGAGUUUGCAUACUUUAACAGACUUUAAGAAUAACUGAAGAAAAUGUUAUAAUUAAGCAAUGAAUAUGGAUUUUGUUAACCAGGGGAAGGUUUGCGGACGUA